CCUGACUGCUAUCGGAUUGAUACUAAGCCAUGCGAGUUUUUGUAGCAAUACAAGGCAUACGGCUCAGUAACACGUAGUCAAUCUAACCUAUGGACGAGGAUAACCUCGGGAAACUGAGAAUAAUACUCGAUAGAUCAUUAUGCCUGGAACGGUUUAUGGUUAAAAUGAAUUUCGCCAUAGGAUGGGACUGCGGUCUAUCAGCUUGUUGGUGAUGUAAUGGACCACCAAGGCUAUAACAGAUACGGGCUCUGAGAGGAGAAGCCCGGAGAUGGGUACUGAAACACGGACCCAGGCCCUAUGGGGCGCAGCAGGCGAGAAAACUUUGCAAUGUGCGAAAGCACGACAAGGUUAAUCCGAGUGAUUCCUGCUAAAGGAAUCUUUUGUUAGUCAUAAAACCACUAAUGAAUAAGGGGUGGGCAAGUUCUGGUGUCAGCCGCCGCGGUAAAACCAGCACCUCAAGUGGUCAGGAUGAUUAUUGGGCCUAAAGCAUCCGUAGCCGGCUCUGUUAGUUUUCGGUUAAAUCCAUAUGCUCAACAUAUGGGCCGCCGGGAAUACUACAAAGCUAGGGAGUGGGAGAGGUAGACGGUACUCCGUAGGAAGGGGUAAAAUCCUUUGAUCUAUGGAUGACCACCAGUGGCGAAGGCGGUCUACCAGAACACGUUCGACGGUGAGGGAUGAAAGCUGGGGGAGCAAACCGGAUUAGAUACCCGGGUAGUCCCAGCUGUAAACUAUGCAAACUCAGUGAUGCAUUGGCUUGUGGCCAGUGCAGUGCCGCAGAGAAGUCGUUAAGUUUGCCGCCUGGGAAGUACGUACGCAAGUAUGAAACUUAAAGGAAUUGGCGGGGGAGCACCACAAGGGGUGAAGCCUGCGGUUC
This 874-nucleotide ribosomal RNA is filed under the name uncultured Candidatus Nitrosopumilus sp. RNAcentral describes it as "bacterial SSU rRNA". It matches the Rfam family "Archaeal small subunit ribosomal RNA", at positions 21 to 903 of the family's 1478-position model. The record is from RNAcentral. Lineage: Archaea; Thermoproteati; Nitrososphaerota; Nitrososphaeria; Nitrosopumilales; Nitrosopumilaceae.